Molecule: non-coding RNA, 46 nt
Organism: Trichinella nativa
Lineage: Eukaryota; Metazoa; Nematoda; Enoplea; Trichinellida; Trichinellidae
Source: Rfam
CCAACGGUCCUUUUCAGGACCACAAUUAUUUUUGCUGAAAUCAAUA